Molecule: long non-coding RNA, 1337 nt
Filed under: Homo sapiens (human)
Lineage: Eukaryota; Metazoa; Chordata; Mammalia; Primates; Hominidae
Description: HSALNT0338140
Source: RNAcentral
UCUUUUCCCCUUCAACCAUUUAAAAAUGUAAAAAAACUAUUCUCAGCUUGUGGGUUUUACAAAAACAGGUGGCAGCCAGAUUUGGUAGUGGCCGGACUUUGCCACCUCCAGCCUGGAGUGUUUUGGGAAUUCCCCAUUCUGAAAUGGUCUCCAGUGUGGCUGCAGCACGUCCAUUUGACAAUCCUGACCUCGGUGGUGGCAAAUCUUCCUUGUUUCCUGGUGGAUUUAACUUUGCAGAAGGACCAGCAGACAUCCUGACCCAAACCUGAUGGAUGAGAUUGGUGUAAAGUGGAGAAAUUCUGUUUUGGAUUAAUCACAAGGAGAUUUAAAAAACGAGAGAUUUUCUGUAACCUCCUGCCCAGCUGGUAUGGCCUGAAAGCUUGUGUACUCCCAGAUUCAUAUGUUGAAAUCCUAACCCUUCAUGUGACGGUAUUUGGAGGUGGAGUUCUUGGGAGUUGCUGAACAGAAGUGAGGGAAGACGAUGCCAGUGACAGCAGAACAUUGCUGAGGGCUGCAGAAAUAUGACAGCCCCUGGGCCCCUGCACUUCCCCUCCCUGCACAGACAAGAGUAUGGUGAAGAACGGAAUGAAGUUAUAACGCUUGGGAAGUGGCCUGUGAGGCCUGAUGAGCCCAUGUUCUUUCUCUCACGUGGUUUUAAUGGAAGGUUCUGCAUUCAGCUGCACCAACACUGCUUGCAAACAAGAAAAGAACCGAGAGAGUGGAGAACACUGUGCAGGGACUUGGGUAUGGAUUCCAGGGAGUAUCUGGAAAUUCCCACCUCACAGGUCCAUCUCACCUGGUGGUUGUUCCUACUGAAAAAGGAUCCCGUGGUCCUGUGCCCUGAGGGCCACAAACAGCAUAAAUGUUCCAGAGCAGAGCCUGGAAGUGGGAGGGUACAGAGGGAAGACAUAAGAAGAUGGGGGUGGAAGCAUGAAGGGCAGUUCUAAAGUGUCUUGGGGAGAAUAGGAGAUAAAUUAGAUGAUAAUGCACAAGGCCAAGGGCAUGGCAAAAUAAGGAACCAAGAAGAAUGAAACCGAUUUGAUGAAGAUAAGGAUUAACAGUACACACAGUUAUGAAUAAAAGAUGCAUUAUGUAAUAAUUAGCAGGCAUCUAUAGGUUGGUGCAAAAGUUAUUGCGGUUUUUGCCAUUGAAAGUAAAUGCAAAAACUCGCGACUGCUUUUACAACAACCUAAUACAGCUUCUUUCACCAAGGAGCUUAAAUGUUUUAAAAUAAACAAAAUGUCGUUAUGCACCCUACCUCCCUCCGCAGUUUGGAGCCCUUCCUUUUCCAGAAUGAUGCAGCCCAGGUCCCCCUACCCUUUGUUCUCAGCAGCAAG